CCUACGGGCGGCAGCAGUGGGGAAUAUUGCACAAUGGGCGCAAGCCUGAUGCAGCCAUGCCGCGUGUGUGAAGAAGGCCUUCGGGUUGUAAAGCACUUUCAGCGGGGAGGAAGGCGGUGAGGUUAAUAACCUCAUCGAUUGACGUUACCCGCAGAAGAAGCACCGGCUAACUCCGUGCCAGCAGCCGCGGUAAUACGGAGGGUGCAAGCGUUAAUCGGAAUUACUGGGCGUAAAGCGCACGCAGGCGGUCUGUCAAGUCGGAUGUGAAAUCCCCGGGCUCAACCUGGGAACUGCAUUCGAAACUGGCAGGCUAGAGUCUGGUAGAGGGGGGUAGAAUGCCAGGUGUAGCGGUGAAAUUCGUAGAGAUCUGGAGGAAUACCGGUGGCGAAGGCGGCCCCCUGGACAAAGACUGACGCUCAGGUGCGAAAGCGAGGGGAGCAAACAGGAUUAGAUACCCCGGUAGUC
This 465-nucleotide ribosomal RNA is filed under the name uncultured Klebsiella sp. Its description in RNAcentral is "bacterial SSU rRNA". It matches the Rfam family "Bacterial small subunit ribosomal RNA", at positions 338 to 795 of the family's 1533-position model. The record is from RNAcentral. Lineage: Bacteria; Pseudomonadati; Pseudomonadota; Gammaproteobacteria; Enterobacterales; Enterobacteriaceae.